UGAGGAAUAUUGGUCAAUGGGCGCAAGCCUGAACCAGCCAAGUAGCGUGAGGGAAGACUGCCCUAUGGGUUGUAAACCUCUUUUGUGCGGGGAUAAAGUGUGGGACGUGUCCCAUAUUGCAGGUACCGCACGAAUAAGGACCGGCUAAUUCCGUGCCAGCAGCCGCGGUAAUACGGAAGGUCCGGGCGUUAUCCGGAUUUAUUGGGUUUAAAGGGAGCGCAGGCCGUCCUUUAAGCGUGCUGUGAAAUGCCGCGGCUCAACCGUGGCACUGCAGCGCGAACUGGAGGACUUGAGUACGCACGAGGUAGGCGGAAUUCGUGGUGUAGCGGUGAAAUGCUUAGAUAUCAUGAAGAACUCCGAUUGCGAAGGCAGCUUACCGGAGCGCAACUGACGCUGAGGCUCGAAAGCGCGGGUAUCGAACAGGAUUAGAUACCCUGGUAGUCCGCGCGGUAAACGAUGGAUGCCCGCCGUUGGGUUUUAGAAUUCAGCGGCCAAGCGAAAGCGUUAAGCAUCCCACCUGGGGAGUACGCCGGCAACGGUGAAACUCAAAGGAAUUGACGGGGGCCCGCACAAGCGGAGGAACAUGUGGUUUAAUUCGAUGAUACGCGAGGAACCUUACCCGGGCUUGAAUUGCAGGAGAACGAUCCAGAGAUGGUGAGGCCCUUCGGGGCUCCUGUGAAGGUGCUGCAUGGUUGUCGUCAGCUCGUGCCGUGAGGUGUCGGCUCAAGUGCCAUAACGAGCGCAACCCCUGUCCAUAGUUGCCAUCAGGUCGUGCUGGGCACUCUGUGGAGACUGCCGCCGUAAGGUGUGAGGAAGGUGGGGAUGACGUCAAAUCAGCACGGCCCUUACGUCCGGGGCUACACACGUGUCACAAUGGGGCAUACAGCGAGUUGGAUGUGCGCAAGUACGUCCGGAUCAAUAAAGUGCCUCUCAGUUCGGACUGGGGUCUGCAACCCGACCCCACGAAGCUGGAUUCGCUAGUAAUCGCGCAUCAGCCAUGGCGCGGUGAAUACGUUCCC
RNAcentral lists this ribosomal RNA (1019 nucleotides) under uncultured bacterium. Its description in RNAcentral is "bacterial SSU rRNA". It matches the Rfam family "Bacterial small subunit ribosomal RNA", at positions 355 to 1375 of the family's 1533-position model. The record is from RNAcentral.